AUAAGCAACCGAUCAAUUCAGGGCCUUCUGAAGACCCGAAAGACAGUUUUUGGAGGCCCCUUCGAAGAGGUG
Molecule: non-coding RNA, 72 nt
Organism: Ascaris suum (pig roundworm)
Lineage: Eukaryota; Metazoa; Nematoda; Chromadorea; Rhabditida; Ascarididae
Source: Rfam